CAGUCGCCGCGGUAAUACGAGGGGGGCAAGCGUUGUUCGGAAUUAUUGGGCGUAAAGGGCUCGCAGGCGGUUUCUUAAGUCUGAUGUGAAAGCCCCCGGCUCAACCGGGGAGGGUCAUUGGAAACUGGGAAACUUGAGUGCAGAAGAGGAGAGUGGAAUUCCACGUGUAGCGGUGAAAUGCGUAGAGAUGUGGAGGAACACCAGUGGCGAAGGCGACUCUCUGGUCUGUAACUGACGCUGAGGAGCGAAAGCGUGGGGAGCGAACAGGAUUAGAUACCCGGGUAGUCCCUGUCUCUUAUAC
This 301-nucleotide ribosomal RNA is filed under the name uncultured bacterium. Its description in RNAcentral is "partial 16S ribosomal RNA". It matches the Rfam family "Bacterial small subunit ribosomal RNA", at positions 509 to 807 of the family's 1533-position model. The record is from RNAcentral.